UAACACAUGCAAGUCGAGCGGGCACCUUCGGGUGUCAGCGGCAGACGGGUGAGUAACACGUGGGAACGUACCCUUCGGUUCGGAAUAACGCUGGGAAACUAGCGCUAAUACCGGAUACGCCCUUAUGGGGAAAGGUUUACUGCCGAAGGAUCGGCCCGCGUCUGAUUAGCUAGUUGGUGGGGUAAUGGCCUACCAAGGCGACGAUCAGUAGCUGGUCUGAGAGGAUGAUCAGCCACACUGGGACUGAGACACGGCCCAGACUCCUACGGGAGGCAGCAGUGGGGAAUAUUGGACAAUGGGCGCAAGCCUGAUCCAGCCAUGCCGCGUGAGUGAUGAAGGCCUUAGGGUUGUAANNCUCUUUUNUCCGGGACGAUAAUGACGGUACCGGAAGAAUAAGCC
This 399-nucleotide ribosomal RNA is filed under the name grassland soil clone saf1_320. Its description in RNAcentral is "bacterial SSU rRNA". It matches the Rfam family "Bacterial small subunit ribosomal RNA", at positions 49 to 492 of the family's 1533-position model. The record is from RNAcentral.